GCUGGCCUUGGAUGAGCACAGUUACUCCUCCUUGCCCCUUGGUCUUUUGAAUCCUGACAAUCUCUAUUCUCCACUUGGAAAAGGGAGAUCAGGAAGCCCUGUGGAGAUCCAUUCACAAGGUGCUCGGCCCACAAUAAGAGACAGUCCGGUUUGGCCAAUAUACAUGGCCGAGGGGCAUUGCUGCCACUUAAUGACAUAGAUCACAUUAGAGGAUGUGCAGUUGUAUGAACCACUGAUGUUCUGGCUUAAGAGGUCCUGUCCUGCUGUCACAUCGAUAGAUGUGUGGACAGGGUUGGCAAUGGGGAGUGUUGCAGGGGUGAAUGGGUCUGAGGUAUGAUCUGUGAAUGCUGGAAAUUAUUUGCAUCAGGUAGGAUGGUUGAAAUACUCCAACCACUAGGGCUGCUACCUCUUCCUAUGAAGAAGUCCCCCACACCCAAGGGGCCAGUGCUGCGGGCCCUUCCCCACAGCAAACUGAGCUCUACAGCGCAGGGCUGGGCUUCUGCACAAGCACCCACCAUUAUUUCCUGUUUAUAUUUACAUUACUUCUGCGGGGGCCUGAUCCGAGGCCCGGGAGGCGAAAGAAGGAAAUUACAGAGCAGCUGGCAGUGAGCUCAGCUCCCACAGGUAGGCGGAUGCUGACUUGCAGUGUUACCGACAAGAACACCCCGUACCACAGGGACAUGCACCACGGCCGACAGGGUAGGUACAAGCAAUUGGCACCUACGGGUACGUGGAGAAGGACUCCCGCUCGCGCAGACAGGUGGCCGGGGAGCACAGCUCCUAUGGCCAGGAGAUCAGGUCUCCACGCGAAUGGACAGGCUGCCAGUGAGCUCAGCUCCCUCGGGCAAGUGGACGAUGAGCCCCGCUGUUACGGACAAGAUGCCCAGGAACCUGCUAAAACCGGCCGGUUGCCAGCGAGCCCCCUGCCUGUAGCCAUCAGCCAGCGCGAUUUCCGCCAACCACCACUUCACCUCAGCACACGCCUCUGGGCCCUGACGGGCUGGACCAGUGAGCUUGGCACAGGGGGAGCCUGUGUGUAUCUCUGAGCAACGGGACUCUCGGCGAAGGACUGUUCUCCCAGCUCGCACAGGCAGGGGCGGUUGAGCGCCGCUCUGGUGGGCACGGUUGCCUCAAGGCCAGUUCCGACAGGCAGGGGCCCUCGAUACACGCUCCGCUGGGCAGGGGGCCGGCCAGCCUAGCUCCAUGUGACCAAAGGCCCCUGACAGAUUGCUUCCUUCCCCUUCCAACAGCCACCAGUUUUCCUUGCCGAUCAAUUCCUUCCACCAGUCAGUGAAUGCGGCUCCCGCCCCAACACCGAUUGUCACCUCACCCAGAUUGACUGUCCAUUUCUGCCUUUGGUUCCGUCAGGCUGCUAAUAAGUUCAGCUCCCACAAGCAGGCAACUGAUGACUCCCACCCUUGCUGACAAGCCGGCAGGGAGCUCAGAGCCCACAGGCGUCUAGACAGGAGGUACAGGGCUGAACCGGGACGGGGCUACAAGGGCAGCUGCCCAGGGCAUGAAGCUGUGGGGGAAGAAAAAUGGACAGGUUUGUGGGGGAGUUCUAUGGUUCCCACGUUCCCCCUCCCCCAGCUUUAUGCCUUCCACUUGGUACGGAGGGUUGCAAACCUUUGGAAUACCGUCACCUCUUUGCAGGAGCUGACUCACCCAUGCGAGCAGCUGGUGCUGCAGUCAUAUCCCCGGAGCAAACCCCUUCUUGCAGGGCUACUUCACUAACUCCCAGCAUUCCUUGCAGCUUCCUUUUUAUUACUUGCGUAGGGGCCUGAUCCGAGGCCCGGGAGGCGAAAGAAGGAAGUUACAGAGCGGCUGGCAGUGAGUUUGACUCCCACAGGUAGGCGGAUGCUGACUUGCAGUGUUACCGACAAGAACACCCCGUACCACAGGGACAUGCACCACGGCCGACAGGGUAGGUACAAGCAAUUGGCACCUACGGGUACGUGGAGAAGGACUCCCGCUCGCGCAGACAGGUGGCCGGGGAGCACAGCUCCUAUGGCCAGGAGAUCAGGUCUCCACGCGAAUGGACAGGCUGCCAGUGAGCUCAGCUCCCUCGGGCAAGUGGACGAUGAGCCCCGCUGUUACGGACAAGAUGCCCAGGAACCUGCUAAAACCGGCCGGUUGCCAGCGAGCCCCCUGCCUGUAGCCAUCAGCCAGCGCGAUUUCCGCCAACCACCACUUCACCUCAGCACACGCCUCUGGGCCCUGACGGGCUGGACCAGUGAGCUUGGCACAGGGGGAGCCUGUGUGUAUCUCUGAGCAACGGGACUCUCGGCGAAGGACUGUUCUCCCAGCUCGCACAGGCAGGGGCGGUUGAGCGCCGCUCUGGUGGGCACGGUUGCCUCAAGGCCAGUUCCGACAGGCAGGGGCCCUCGAUACACGCUCCGCUGGGCAGGGGGCCGGCCAGCCUAGCUCCAUGUGACCAAAGGCCCCUGACAGAUUGCUUCCUUCCCCUUCCAACAGCCACCAGUUUUCCUUGCCGAUCAAUUCCUUCCACCAGUCAGUGAAUGCGGCUCCCGCCCCAACACCGAUUGUCACCUCACCCAGAUUGACUGUCCAUUUCUGCCUUUGGUUCCGUCAGGCUGCUAAUAAGUUCAGCUCCCACAAGCAGGCAACUGAUGACUCCCACCCUUGCUGACAAGCCGGCAGGGAGCUCAGAGCCCACAGGCGUCUAGACAGGAGGUACAGGGCUGAACCGGGACGGGGCUACAAGGGCAGCUGCCCAGGGCAUGAAGCUGUGGGGGAAGAAAAAUGGACAGGUUUGUGGGGGAGUUCUAUGGUUCCCAUGUUCCCCCUCCCCCAGCUUUAUUCCUUCCACUUGGUACGGAGGGUUUCAAACCUUUGGAAUACCGUCACCUCUUUGCAGGAGCUGACUCACCCAUGCGAGCAGCUGGUGCUGCAGUCAUAUCCCCGGAGCAAACCCCUUCUUGCAGGGCUACUUCACUAACUCCCAGCAUUCCUUGCAGCUUCCUUUUUAUUACUUGCGUAGGGGCCUGAUCCGAGGCCCGGGAGGCGAAAGAAGGAAGUUACAGAGCGGCUGGCAGUGAGUUUGACUCCCACAGGUAGGCGGAUGCUGACUUGCAGUGUUACCGACAAGAACACCCCGUACCACAGGGACAUGCACCACGGCCGACAGGGUAGGUACAAGCAAUUGGCACCUACGGGUACGUGGAGAAGGACUCCCGCUCGCGCAGACAGGUGGCCGGGGAGCACAGCUCCUAUGGCCAGGAGAUCAGGUCUCCACGCGAAUGGACAGGCUGCCAGUGAGCUCAGCUCCCUCGGGCAAGUGGACGAUGAGCCCCGCUGUUACGGACAAGAUGCCCAGGAACCUGCUAAAACCGGCCGGUUGCCAGCGAGCCCCCUGCCUGUAGCCAUCAGCCAGCGCGAUUUCCGCCAACCACCACUUCACCUCAGCACACGCCUCUGGGCCCUGACGGGCUGGACCAGUGAGCUUGGCACAGGGGGAGCCUGUGUGUAUCUCUGAGCAACGGGACUCUCGGCGAAGGACUGUUCUCCCAGCUCGCACAGGCAGGGGCGGUUGAGCGCCGCUCUGGUGGGCACGGUUGCCUCAAGGCCAGUUCCGACAGGCAGGGGCCCUCGAUACACGCUCCGCUGGGCAGGGGGCCGGCCAGCCUAGCUCCAUGUGACCAAAGGCCCCUGACAGAUUGCUUCCUUCCCCUUCCAACAGCCACCAGUUUUCCUUGCCGAUCAAUUCCUUCCACCAGUCAGUGAAUGCGGCUCCCGCCCCAACACCGAUUGUCACCUCACCCAGAUUGACUGUCCAUUUCUGCCUUUGGUUCCGUCAGGCUGCUAAUAAGUUCAGCUCCCACAAGCAGGCAACUGAUGACUCCCACCCUUGCUGACAAGCCGGCAGGGAGCUCAGAGCCCACAGGCGUCUAGACAGGAGGUACAGGGCUGAACCGGGACGGGGCUACAAGGGCAGCUGCCCAGGGCAUGAAGCUGUGGGGGAAGAAAAAUGGACAGGUUUGUGGGGGAGUUCUAUGGUUCCCACGUUCCCCCUCCCCCAGCUUUAUGCCUUCCACUUGGUACGGAGGGUUGCAAACCUUUGGAAUACCGUCACCUCUUUGCAGGAGCUGACUCACCCAUGCGAGCAGCUGGUGCUGCAGUCAUAUCCCCGGAGCAAACCCCUUCUUGCAGGGCUACUUCACUAACUCCCAGCAUUCCUUGCAGCUUCCUUUUUAUUACUUGCGUAGGGGCCUGAUCCGAGGCCCGGGAGGCGAAAGAAGGAAGUUACAGAGCGGCUGGCAGUGAGUUUGACUCCCACAGAUUUCUUCCCCGGACCGGGACCAGGGAGGAGCCGAGCUUUGAGCUGUAGAGUCGCCGGGUCCGGGCGCAGCACGUGGCCUCGGGUGCAGCGAGAGGAGAUCCGGUCGUAGGGGUAGCGUGAGAGGAUCGCACACUGCAGAGCGUCCUCGGAUGAAGGAGUCAGCGCUGCCCGAAGGCUCCAUCUGCUCUGAGGAUGGUGAAGGACCUGAGGGAAGCUGCGUCACGCGAGUGCAAAAUCAGGCGCCAACGGCACCACGAGACGGCUACUGCACAUGGGCAGGGCGGCCAGGCACCGCGAGCAACAUUCUGCGAUCGUUGGGACGAGGAGCCACCGGCACGUUCGAGAGGAGCACCCACAGCGUGGAGCACCCACGGGGCACCGCUUGAAGGAGAAGCGAGGCACGUGGCCAGGGGCCUGAGGGAAUCCGGCAACUCACACCAGCUUCCACUCCAGCAGCUCCUGGCUGGAGGUGACUGUUUUCAAGCUGCGAGACAUUAGUAAAGAGGAGAAAUACUGCAGCAGAACAAUGAGAGAGCAAAAGAGAGAGAGAGAUUUAGAAUAAAAGUGUCAAAGGUGGAAUCAUUUUUGUUUGCUUGUUUUAU
Non-coding RNA from Pelodiscus sinensis (Chinese soft-shelled turtle), 4902 nucleotides. The record is from RefSeq and is a predicted model, not a curated record. Lineage: Eukaryota; Metazoa; Chordata; Testudines; Trionychidae.